UUAAUUGAAGCCAAAGAGAGGCUUAUCACUGUUAAUGAUAUCAUUGAAAUUUAUUUUCCAAUUAAA
Molecule: transfer RNA, 66 nt
Filed under: Cicindela campestris
Lineage: Eukaryota; Metazoa; Arthropoda; Insecta; Coleoptera; Carabidae
Description: tRNA-Asn
Source: RNAcentral